This 504-nucleotide ribosomal RNA is filed under the name uncultured bacterium. RNAcentral's name for it is "bacterial SSU rRNA". It matches the Rfam family "Bacterial small subunit ribosomal RNA", at positions 28 to 526 of the family's 1533-position model. The record is from RNAcentral.
GAUGAACGCUAGCUACAGGCUUAACACAUGCAAGUCGAGGGGCAGCACGAGGUAGCAAUACUGAGGUGGCGACCGGCGCACGGGUGAGUAACACGUAUCCAACCUACCAUUUACUCUUGGAUAGCCUUCUGAAAAGGAGAUUAAUACAAGAUAGCAUCACGAGAAUUCAUGUUCACGUGAUUAAAGAAUUUCGGUAAAUGAUGGGGAUGCGUUCCAUUAGAUAGUAGGCGGGGUAACGGCCCACCUAGUCUACGAUGGAUAGGGGUUCUGAGAGGAAGGUCCCCCACACUGGUACUGAGACACGGACCAGACUCCUACGGGAGGCAGCAGUGAGGAAUAUUGGUCAAUGGACGAGAGUCUGAACCAGCCAAGUCGCGUGAAGGAUGAAGGUUCUAUGGAUUGUAAACUUCUUUUAUAUGGGAAUAAAAAGUGUUACGUGUAGCAUAUUGCAUGUACCAUAUGAAUAAGGAUCGGCUAACUCCGUGCCAGCCGCCGCGGUAAAAC